Non-coding RNA from Mycena latifolia, 86 nucleotides. NCBI's taxonomy places the organism in Eukaryota, Fungi, Basidiomycota, Agaricomycetes, Agaricales, Mycenaceae. The record is from the annotation of a GenBank genome assembly.
GCCCCUGUGGACCAUGGUGGUCGCCUCGAAUGAAUAGGAUGGCUACUUCGUGUAACGAGACGGAGGUUCGAUUCCUCCCGGGGGCA